This 2108-nucleotide small RNA is filed under the name Pongo abelii (Sumatran orangutan). Its description in RNAcentral is "retained intron". The stretch from base 340 to 432 matches the Rfam family "mir-637 microRNA precursor family". Lineage: Eukaryota; Metazoa; Chordata; Mammalia; Primates; Hominidae. The record is from RNAcentral.
UAGACACCCCCAGGUUUUCCAUUCCUGUCCUCUCUGAGGUCCAGGGCCCCAUCCAGGAGCCCACACGACAUUUAGCCGUUCAGCUCCUUCGCCGCCUCCAGUCUGAGGCUGUUCCUCCGUCUGGCUUUCAUGACCUUGACUCUGACGAGCGCUCACGGGUCACGUGUUUUGCGGAAGGUGCCUGAGUCCACGUUAGUCCGGUGCGCUCUCACGAUCAGACGGGGCUUCAGUGUCUCUGCUCAAAACCCCAGGGAUGACGCCUUGUCACCCUCCCAGCGUCAGGCUGGGAGGCAGACGCUGUUGGGGCCUCUCGCUGCCGGGCUGUUGACCUUGAUCCUUUGGCUAAGGUGUUGUUGGCUCGGGCUCCCCACUGCAGUUACCCUCCCCUCGGCUUUACUGAGCACUGGGGGCUUUCGGGCUCUGCAUCUGCAAAGAUACUUCGAGUCUCCACGGAGAUUUCUGCCUGUUCAUUUCUGCUGCUGUCAGUGGCGGGGUGGGGGGUUGGAUUUUGAAUGCCUCUUGGGUGGUGGCUGGGAUCGUUGCAGGAAGGUUCUAAGGGCUCAGGAGUGUGAGUGGCCCAGGCACCUGCCGUCAGCCUGUCCUCUGUGCUCCGCCUGUCGUGGGCAGGACGGAGUUGGGGGCAGCCGGGGAGGCGGCGCGGUCGUGGUGGGAGCCCAGGACCCCACUGAGCCCCACGCCUGUCUGGCAGCCUGAGCGGCGCAUCCCCGUUCCUGGGCGAGACCAAGCAGGAGACGCUUACCAACAUCUCAGCCGUGAACUACGACUUCGACGAGGAGUACUUCAGCAACACCAGCGAGCUGGCCAAGGACUUCAUUCGCCGGCUGCUCGUCAAAGAUCCCAAGCGGAGAAUGACCAUUGCCCAGAGCCUGGAACAUUCCUGGAUUAAGGCGAUCCGGCGGCGGAACGUUCGUGGUGAGGACAGUGGCCGCAAGCCCGAGCGGCGGCGCCUGAAGACCACGCGUCUGAAGGAGUACACCAUCAAGUCGCACUCCAGCUUGCCGCCCAACAACAGCUACGCCGACUUCGAGCGCUUCUCCAAGGUGCUGGAGGAGGCGGCGGCCGCCGAGGAGGGCCUGCGCGAGCUGCAGCGUAGCCGGCGGCUCUGCCACGAGGACGUGGAGGCGCUGGCCGCCAUCUACGAGGAGAAGGAGGCCUGGUACCGCGAGGAGAGCGACAGCCUGGGCCAGGACCUGCGGAGGCUACGGCAGGAGCUGCUCAAGACCGAGGCACUCAAGCGGCAGGCGCAGGAGGAGGCCAAGGGCGCGCUGCUGGGCACCAGCGGCCUCAAGCGCCGCUUCAGCCGCCUGGAGAACCGCUACGAGGCGCUGGCCAAGCAAGUGGCCUCCGAGAUGCGCUUCGUGCAGGACCUCGUGCGCGCCCUGGAGCAGGAGAAGCUGCAGGGUGUGGAGUGCGGGCUGCGCUAGGCGCACUGGGGUGGGCCAGGCCCUGGGACAGCCGGAGCUUGACCUGCGGUGGGGGCGCUUCCUGUGGACGCUACGCCUCCAAUCACCCCGGUGCCUGUCCUUGCCCCGCGCCGCCAGGCUGGAGGCGGAGUGAGAGGAGCUGGAGCCAGGCCCGUAAGUUCACGGGCAGGGGUGGGCGUGGGACGGGGCUGCUUCUCUACACAGCCUCCACGCUGGCCUUCACCUUCGCUCCUGCAUCGUCGGUGACGCCGGGACCCUCCAGGCAGCGUGGCCUGUGGCGCUGUGAGGGUUGGGACCCAGGAUGGGACCGGCCACUGAGGCCCAGCGGCGGCCCGAAUGCAGCCCUGGUCCAGGCCCAGCGGAGGGUUUGCGGGCAGUUCCGCGGGCGGUUUGCGGGCAGUACCGCGGGCAGUUCGGCGGGGUGCUGCCCGUUGCUGCCACUAGCCCAGGAGGAGGUAGUGGGACGGCGGACAGGCAGUCUCCACGCUGCUGGGUGGCGCCGGGCUUGGUGGGGUCUUCCACUGUGUGCCUUCCUCGCGGAGGCCCGUCCCCCGGGUGUGGGGUCCCCUGCUGCGGACUCCUCCGCGAGCCCCAUCGUUGUGCGUGUGCACGCCUAGGCGAGAGCGGCCCUCUGCAGCCAAGAGAAAUAAAAUACUGGCUUCC